This 1231-nucleotide ribosomal RNA is filed under the name Enterocloster bolteae. Its description in RNAcentral is "partial 23S ribosomal RNA". It matches the Rfam family "Bacterial large subunit ribosomal RNA", at positions 1 to 1242 of the family's 2925-position model. Lineage: Bacteria; Bacillati; Bacillota; Clostridia; Lachnospirales; Lachnospiraceae. The record is from RNAcentral.
UUUGGUUAAGCUAUAAAGAGCGCAGGGUGGAUGCCUUGGCACUAAGAGCCGAUGAAAGACGUGAUAAGCUGCGAAAAGCUUCGGGGAGGAGCAAAUAUCCUUUGAUCCGGAGAUAUCUGAAUGGGGAAACCCGGCUGAGCAAACCUCAGUCACUGCAUGGUGAAUCCAUAGCCAUGCAGGGGGAACCCGGUGAACUGAAACAUCUAAGUAGCCGGAGGAAGAGAAAGAAACAUCGAUUCCCAAAGUAGCGGCGAGCGAAAUGGGAAGAGCCCAAACCAGCGUGCGUGCAUGCUGGGGUUAAGGACUGCAAACGUGAACCGAUUUGUUAGUGGAACUGUCUGGGAAGUCAGGCCAUAGAGGGUGAAAGCCCCGUACACGAAAACAAUAGGAAGCAGCAGGAUCCAGAGUACCACGAGACACGAGAAACCUUGUGGGAAGUCGGAGGGACCACCCUCCAAGGCUAAAUACUCCUUAGUGACCGAUAGCGCAUAGUACUGUGAAGGAAAGGUGAAAAGGACCCCGGGAGGGGAGUGAAAAAGAACCUGAAACCCUGUGUUUACAAGCUGUGGAAGCACGUUAAGGUGCGACCGCGUACUUUUUGUAGAACGGUCCGGCGAGUUGCCGGUACUGGCAAGGUUAAGAGCUGAAGGCUCGGAGCCGAAGGGAAACCAAGUCUCAAAUGGGCGUCAAGUCAGUACAGGCAGACCCGAAACCGGGUGACCUAUCCAUGUCCAGGUUGAAGCGGAAGUAAAAUUCCGUGGAGGACCGGAUCCACAUCCGUUGAAAAGGGUGGGAAUGAGGUGUGGAUAGGGGAGAAAUUCCAAUCGAACCCGGAGAUAGCUGGUUCUCCUCGAAAUAGCUUUAGGGCUAGCCUCAUAUUAGUUUAGCGGAGGUAGAGCACUGAAUUCCUAAGGGGGCGUCAAAGCUUACCAAGGGAUAUCAAACUCCGAAUGCCGCAUAAAUGAUGUAUGGGAGUCAGACUGCACGAGAUAAGUUGGGUAGUCAAAAGGGAAAGAGCCCAGACCUACAGCUAAGGUCCCAAAGUGUGUGUUAAGUGGAAAAGGAUGUGGGAUUUCAAAGACAACUAGGAUGUUGGCUCAGAAGCAGCCACACAUUCAAAGAGUGCGUAAUAGCUCACUAGUCGAGAGGUCCUGCGCCGAAAAUGUCCGGGGCUGAAACACAACACCGAAGCUUAGGAAUGUAUGUAAGUACAUUGGUAGAGGAGCAUUCU